GACUAUUCUCCACUAGCCUGGCCUGACGGAUACAGGCAUGCAAUUAGCCUGAGUCAGGCGACCGUAGGCUCCAGGCGCAACAAAUGCGUGCUUACCAUCAAAAUCUCAACUGUACAUAGCCAUUAGCCCAUCACCGUGCGGAGCUCCUGCCGCCAUCGCACGAGGCUGCCCCUGCCGCCACUGCGUGAAGCCCGUCGCGCGAAGCCUCCACCGCCGGCAAGCGAAGCCCCUGCCGUGGUCGUCGUCGAGCGAAGUCCCCGCCUUGGUUGAGUUUGUGUGAAGCUUCGCGCGAUCCCCUUUGCCAGAUCCAGCUUAGAGUGAAGCUUCCGCUGAUGCCUGAUGCUGCUGAUUUUUGCGGAUCAUUGUUGUGACUUUGUUGUUUGUAUGCGUGCAAUUUGCUGGAUGUUUGGAUUUGGGGAUUUUUCUUUUUUGGGGGGAAAGAAGCGAUUUGGAGAUUAUUUUCCUCGUAUAGGUGAUUGAUUUAUUAAUGGAAAGCUAGGUA
This 502-nucleotide small RNA is filed under the name Oryza sativa Japonica Group (Japanese rice). Its description in RNAcentral is "sRNA Os01g0735632". Lineage: Eukaryota; Viridiplantae; Streptophyta; Magnoliopsida; Poales; Poaceae. The record is from RNAcentral.